GCCCCCAUAGUGAAACGGAUAUCACGUUAGUCUUCGGAACUAAAAUUGGGAGUUCGAAUCUCUCUGGGGGCA
This 72-nucleotide transfer RNA is filed under the name Candidatus Portnoybacteria bacterium RBG_13_40_8. RNAcentral describes it as "tRNA-Arg". It matches the Rfam family "tRNA". Rfam says of the family: Transfer RNA (tRNA) molecules are approximately 80 nucleotides in length. Their secondary structure includes four short double-helical elements and three loops (D, anti-codon, and T loops). Lineage: Bacteria; Candidatus Portnoyibacteriota. The record is from RNAcentral. RNAcentral also lists the same sequence under 2 other names.